RNAcentral lists this ribosomal RNA (253 nucleotides) under uncultured bacterium. RNAcentral describes it as "partial 16S ribosomal RNA". It matches the Rfam family "Bacterial small subunit ribosomal RNA", at positions 524 to 776 of the family's 1533-position model. The record is from RNAcentral.
UACGGAGGGUGCUAGCGUUGUUCGGAAUCACUGGGCGUAAAGGGCGUGUAGGCGGCCUGCUAAGUCUGAUGUGAAAUCCCCUCGCUCAACGAGGGAACUGCGUCGGAUACUGGCAGGCUCGAGUACCGGAGAGGAAGGUGGAAUUCCCGGUGUAGCGGUGAAAUGCGUAGAUAUCGGGAGGAACAUCGGUGGCGAAGGCGGCCUUCUGGACGGAUACUGACGCUGAGACGCGAAAGCGUGGGGAGCAAACAGG